AGUGAGGAAUAUUGCCCAAUGGGGGAAACCUGAGGCAGCAACGCCGCGUGAACGAUGACGGCCUUCGGGUUGUAAAGUUCUUUCUGGGGGACGAUACUGACGGUACCCAGGAAUAAGUUCCGGCUAACUACGUGCCAGCAGCCGCGGUAAAACGUAGGGGACAAGCGUUAUCCGGAUUUACUGGGCGUAAAGCGCACGUAGGCGGUAGGGUAAGUUGGCCGUGAAAGCUCCUGGCUUAACUGGGAGAGGUCGGACAAAACUGUCCUGCUUGAGGCUGAGAGAGGAGAGCGGAAUUCCCGGUGUAGUGGUGGAAUGCGUAGAUAUCGGGAGGAACACCAGUGGCGGAGGCGGCUCUCUGGCUCAGAUCUGACGCUGAGGUGCGAAAGCGUGGGGAGCGAACGGGAUUAGAUACCCCGGUAGUCCACGCUGUAAACGAUGGAUACCAGGUGUAGGGGGUUAUUAACCCCCCCUGUGCCGCAGCUAACGCGCUAAGUAUCCCGCCUGGGGACUACGGCCGCAAGGUUA
RNAcentral lists this ribosomal RNA (525 nucleotides) under uncultured bacterium. RNAcentral's name for it is "bacterial SSU rRNA". It matches the Rfam family "Bacterial small subunit ribosomal RNA", at positions 353 to 896 of the family's 1533-position model. The record is from RNAcentral.